RNAcentral lists this non-coding RNA (24 nucleotides) under Arabidopsis thaliana (thale cress). The record is from RNAcentral. Lineage: Eukaryota; Viridiplantae; Streptophyta; Magnoliopsida; Brassicales; Brassicaceae.
CACUAAGUAUUGGCGGACUAAGUC